Molecule: ribosomal RNA, 324 nt
Filed under: uncultured eukaryote
Lineage: Eukaryota
Description: partial 18S ribosomal RNA
Rfam family: Eukaryotic small subunit ribosomal RNA
Source: RNAcentral
CCCUUAGAUGCUCUGGGCCGCACGCGCGCUACACUGGUCGAUGCAACGAGUUUCUUUCCUUGGCCGACAGGCCUGGGCAAUCUUUGAACAUCGAUCGUGAUCGGGAUAGAUUCUUGUAAUUUUUGAUCUUAAACGAGGAAUUCCUAGUAAACGCAAGUCAUCAGCUUGCAUUGAUUACGCCCCUGCCCUUUGUACACACCGCCCGUCGCACCUACCGAUUGAAUGGUCCGGUGAAAUCUCCGGACUGGCGUGAGUCGGAGCAAUCUGACAAACGCCGGAAAGUUGAUUAAACCUUACCAUUUAGAGGAAGGUGAAGUCGUAACA